AGAAUUAACGCUGGCGGCGUGCCUAACACAUGCAAGUCGAACGAGAAAGUGGAGCAAUCCAUGAGUAAAGUGGCGCACGGGUGAGUAACACGUGACUAACCUACCCUUGAGUGGGGGAUAACCUAGGGAAACCUGGGCUAAUACCGCAUAAUACCUUCGGGUCAAAGGAGCAAUUCGCUUAAGGAGGGGGUCGCGGCCGAUUAGUUAGUUGGCGGGGUAAUGGCCCACCAAGACUGUGAUCGGUAUCCGGCCUGAGAGGGCGCACGGACACACUGGAACUGAAACACGGUCCAGACUCCUACGGGAGGCAGCAGUGGGGAAUUUUGCGCAAUGGGGGAAACCCUGACGCAGCAACGCCGCGUGGAGGAUGAAGCCCCUUGGGGCGUAAACUCCUUUCGAUCGGGACGAUUAUGACGGUACCGGAAGAAGAAGCCCCGGCUAACUUCGUGCCAGCAGCCGC
Molecule: ribosomal RNA, 460 nt
Filed under: uncultured bacterium
Lineage: Bacteria
Description: SSU rRNA
Rfam family: Bacterial small subunit ribosomal RNA
Source: RNAcentral